This 438-nucleotide ribosomal RNA is filed under the name uncultured bacterium. Its description in RNAcentral is "bacterial SSU rRNA". It matches the Rfam family "Bacterial small subunit ribosomal RNA", at positions 395 to 842 of the family's 1533-position model. The record is from RNAcentral.
CGCCGCGUGAGGGAUGACGGCCUUCGGGUUGUAAACCUCUUUCAGCGGGGACGAAGCGAAAGUGACGGUACCCGCAGAAGAAGCACCGGCCAACUACGUGCCAGCAGCCGCGGUAAUACGUAGGGUGCAAGCGUUGUCCGGAAUUAUUGGGCGUAAAGGGCUCGUAGGCGGUUUGUCACGUCGGGAGUGAAAACUCAGGGCUCAACCCUGAGCGUGCUUUCGAUACGGGCAGACUAGAGGUAUUCAGGGGAGAACGGAAUUCCUGGUGUAGCGGUGGAAUGCGCAGAUAUCAGGAGGAACACCGGUGGCGAAGGCGGUUCUCUGGGAAUUACCUGACGCUGAGGAGCGAAAGCAUGGGGAGCGAACAGGAUUAGAUACCCUGGUAGUCCAUGCCGUAAAACGUUGGGCGCUAGGUGUGGGACCCUUUCCACGGGUUCC